UACGGAGGAUGCAAGCGUUAUCCGGAUUCAUUGGGUUUAAAGGGUGUGUAGGCGGAGCAUUAAGUCAGUGGUGAAAUCCUAUAGCUUAACUAUAGAACUGCCAUUGAAACUGAUGCCCUUGAAUGCAGUUGAGGUAGGCGGAAUGUGCAGUGUAGCGGUGAAAUGCUUAGAUAUUGCACAGAACACCGAUUGCGAAGGCAGCUUACUAAACUGUGAUUGACGCUGAGACACGAAAGCGUGGGGAUCAAACAGG
RNAcentral lists this ribosomal RNA (253 nucleotides) under uncultured bacterium. Its description in RNAcentral is "partial 16S ribosomal RNA". It matches the Rfam family "Bacterial small subunit ribosomal RNA", at positions 524 to 776 of the family's 1533-position model. The record is from RNAcentral.